Molecule: RNA transcript, 6119 nt
Organism: Tachysurus fulvidraco (yellow catfish)
Lineage: Eukaryota; Metazoa; Chordata; Actinopteri; Siluriformes; Bagridae
Gene: ppp1r9ba
Gene name: protein phosphatase 1, regulatory subunit 9Ba
Exons: 12
Source: RefSeq, a predicted model, not a curated record
GCUGAGCUGUGCGCGCGAGCCGGGGAGAGACAGCACGGCCGCGUCACUGCUGUUCGCUCGCGGGGAAACCGACAAGCUGAAAAGGGCUCGAGGACACAAUGAACUCGCCAGCGGAAGGAGUUUAACGCACCGGAUCUUUGAUGAACACGAAAUACAAGGGGAAAAGGGAGGAGGCUAUGCCGUUUCGACUUUUCUUUACCACCAUUUGAUUAACCAUGAUGAAGACUGAACCCCCAUCUGCAGCUAGCGGCACAACAAGCACCACGCUCGGCGCUCGGAGCGCGUCGCCACACAGGAAUGCAUACGAGGCAGGAAUUCAGUCACUUAAACCAGUCAAAGACCCUGAUGCUGCAAACGGUGAAGAUGGCAAAGAGGGAAAGUCACGACCUAUCGGACGGGGUCGCAGGUACGGCUCCAAUGUCCAUCGCAUCAAGAACAUGUUCAUGCAGAUGGGCUCCCCCGGGGACGAAGAAGAUCCGUCAAAGAUGAAAGACCAGGCAGUGCGCCUCUCCUUGCCAAGAGCCAGCAGUCUUAAUGAGAAUGUAGACCACAGCGCCCUUCUCAAGCUAGGCGGAACUGUUUCUGAACGUGUGAGUCGCUUUGAUGGAAAGCCUGAUGGAGGAGGUGCCCGUGGACCUUCAUCUGGCUUCUCUAAGCUACAGGAGACACGCAAGAUUUUCGAGCAGCGCACCAUGCAGGAGAAGCAGGCUGCUACCAACCGCAUCCUCCUGAAGAAGGAACGUGCCUCUGGCUUCCAGGACAGUCGUCUGGAUGUUGUCGUACGAUUCAAUGGCAGCACAGAAGCCCUAGACAGACUGGACACAGAAGGUGGGCCUGUCGAGGCAGUGUCCCCCACUGUUAGUCAGCUGAGUGCUGUGUUUGAGAAGGCAGAAUUGCGGAACAAUCUCCAUCGGCCGUCUUCAUCUUCACUUACGCCCUCUCGCCCCAAAGUCAUUCCAAAAAAGGUGCGAACGAUCUCUCAAUCAGGAAGCCAAGAAAAUGAAUUGCUGGCUAAUGAACAAGAAGCAGCCCCUAGAAGUCCAAGGAGAACAGGAUCCCAAGCAAACGCAACAAGCAACAAGCUAUCAGCAGAUGAGACUCUUUUUUCUGCAGAGCCAAAUGCAAAGCAGUCAAAAGAAUUCCAAGACUCUACUGGAACUAGUACAGAGUCCAUACCUGGGGAGCAGGAUGCUGCUAGCCAGGAAGCAGGGAGCAGAUUGGUGCAUGCGGAGGUUCACGCUUCCCUUGAAAAUGGGGAGGCUGAAAACAGUCACGAGGCUGAGCAGAGAGAUGAGUGCAGGCUGAACCAAGGAGACACCUCCGCUCAAAAGGAGGAGGCAGGAGAGGAAGAGACCCUAAAGGAGGAUUAUUCAGAAGCUGACCUGAUAGACAUCAGUGCCUACAGUGGUGUAGGUGAGGACUCUGGUGGGAGUCAGCUGGAUGAGGAUGAAGAGGCUGAUGAUGAUGAGGCUUUUGAACCGGAAUCUAGCUGCACAGAGAUCCCGGGACUGCCGAAUGAGGAUGAACCUCCAGCCAGCAGGAAGAUCCGUUUCAGCAGUGGGCCGAUUAAGGUGUUCACCACGUACUCCAACGAGGAUUAUGACCGGCGUAACGAUGACGUCGACCCCAUGGCAGCCUCAGCUGAGUAUGAGCUGGAGAAGAGAGUGGAGAGGCUGGACCUUUUCCCUGUAGAACUGGAGAAAGACAACGAUGGCUUGGGGAUCAGUAUCAUCGGAAUGGGCGCAGGCGCAGACAUGGGUCUGGAGAAACUUGGAAUCUUUGUCAAGACAGUGACAGAGGGAGGAGCUGCUCAUCGUGACGGAAGGAUCCAGGUGAACGACCUGAUAGUUGAGGUUGAUGGCACUAGUCUGGUGGGUGUGACACAGAAUUUUGCAGCGUCUGUCCUGAGAAACACCACCGGCACUGUCAAGUUUAUCAUCGGCCGAGAGAAGCCGGGUGAGCAGAGCGAGGUAGCUCAGCUGAUCCAGCAGACGUUGGAGCAGGAACGCUGGCAGAGGGAGAUGAUGGAACAGCGCUAUAACCAGUACAUGGAGGAGGAUGAAGAGGCGGGUGAGUAUGGCACAGAUGAGGAUGAGGAGAUGAGCCCCAUGUUCCCUAAUGCUAUCGAGGUGUUUGACUUGGCUGAGAACGAGGACAUGCUCUCUCCUGUGGAGAUGGACCCAGAGAAACUCACUCACAAGUUUAAAGAGCUCCAGAUAAAGCAUGCAGUGACCCAGGCUGAGAUCCAGCAGCUGAAAAGGAAGCUGGCUCAUGCUGAGCAGGAAAAACUGCGCUGGAGGAUGGAGAAGGCCCAGCUGGAGCAGACCGUCCGAGAGACGAAGGAGCGCAUGGAGAAGCUCGAAGGCUACUGGAUGGAGGCUCAGAGCCUGUGCCAGGCAGUGGACGAGCACCUUAAAGAGACACAGGCACAGUACCAGACACUGGAGCGCAAAUACAGUAAAGCCAAGCGCCUCAUCAAAGAGUACCAGCAGAAAGAAAUUGAGUAUCUGAAGAAGGAGACAGCGCAGAGACGUGCACAGGAGGAAUCAGAAGCUGACCACAAGGAGGAGACAGACAACCUGCAGGAGAAGGUUCAGUAAUAACACUGUGGCACUAAGCGUAGCUGCGAGAGUGCUGCCUUACCGCUACAACAGCUACAGCUGUUAUACACUUCUAAGUUGUGAGGGGAAGUCCAGCUAAAAAGGCUACUGAAACAGCUAAGAUAUAACCUUCUGAAAUCUCAGCAGCUUUAUUGUGAGCUUUACACAUUUAUAAAAGGCUGUUUUUUGGUGUUGGUUUUUCUUUAGAUCACUGACUUAGAAACGAAGGUGGGUGCACUGAAGAGCUCCGAGCCCUCUUAAAUCUGCACAGGAACUAGAGAGAAACGAGGGAGAGAGCAGGAGAAAAGUCUUUCAGCCCUGGACGUCCCUCCUUCCUGCAUGAUUUCCCCUGUGGCAUGCAACAAUGGACAAGCAAAAGAGUACAAGAAACAUUAAAGGGAUGUUACUGGGGAAAAGGGGCGUGACAGAGAACUCACAAAGUCCUGCCAGACGUGUGGCACAGGCCUGCUCACCUCUACUCUUCAUGACAACCCAUGUAACGUAGGACGUUUUUGCUUUCAAACAGUAUUUGAUUGUUUUGUUUCUUUUUCGUUUUUUUUUUAACGACCCAAUAAAAACAUUACACAUGCUUAGUUUUGGCAACUCAGCACACUUGAGUGACACACGCCACCUGGACCUGGUGCCAAGCGAACUGAAGAAAGGAAAAAUCCAUGCGACAGACUUUUGAGUUUCACUUUUUUCCCAUCACCUGUGUGCAGAAUGAGAUGCUGUGGGUUUGUACAGCAGUGUCAGAACAUUUGAUGGUGUUUGUAUAUAAUCUUCAAUGUAUUUAAAAAUGCCUAAGCAAUGAGCUGUAAGGGAACGUGGAACAGACGGGGUGGAGGAAUCAGUUUGUGGGAGGGGGUAAAACCAGGGUGCAAGUAACAGUAAAAGUGAAGGUAAACACAUUUUCCUAGUUCUAGACUGGCGCAGGUGAAGAUGUGUACUUAUUUCAUACAUUUUUUUUUCCCAAGCAAAAUGGCAAACAGGGUGUGAGACUUAUGUAAGUCGACCUUUCAAUGUACCUUCCAAGACUUACAUUUCACACUUUGCUUUCCCCUGGACAGUAUUACUGGAAGUGUGUUGUGUGAUUCAGGCAUCUGGGUCGCUGUCUCCUGCAUUUCUCAACGCAUCGUCACUAUCAGUGUAUGAAUGACAAAGAGAAGCCUUUGUGUGCUUAAUUCUGUCUUUUUAUUUUUUAGCUCUGCUCACCAGAUAUUUCUUGCACAGCCUCAGAUGACAGUGCAGUAAAUGACAGCAUGUGCUGAAUUAAUGUGUUAAAAUUCAGCAUUGAUGCUUCAUCAUCACUUCUUUAGGUUGUUUGUUAAUUUUGUUAGGCUGAAGAUUAGAUUUUUUUACUGUUCAAAAAUUCCUAACAAAUAUCCCAAAGUUUUCUGUAGUCAUUUGUCUUAAAGCACAUUAUUGGGUGACUACAGUGUAUUAUUCUGUAAAAGGAAAUGCAUGUAGUUAUGAGAGUCAGGAAAAUAAGCCGGAUCUGCUGAUGGAUCCUGGGAGUUUUCGGGGUUAAAUAUUAUUCGAUCGAAAGUAACCGUCUUAUUAUUGUAAUGGAAACCAUACAUUUGCAGACUUUUAGCUUUUGCUGAUGUCUUAUUGGUGUGCAGCUUUUUUUUUUUUUUGCUACUUGACCUCAAGGCAAAUUUUAUUAUUGUAUUCAAUCAAAUGUUAUAAAUUUGGGAAACUGGAAUUUAGAUAGAGUGAAAUACAGCUUUUAGGUAGACACUGGCCUUUAAUCUGAUUUUGGACCAGCCUCCUCAGACGAGAUCACAACUCAGCCGUAGCAUUAAAGGAUCAUUCUGGUAUUUUUGAACAAAUAUUUGUUUUAACAGUAAGGGCAUUCUGACCAGGUGGCAAACUCCAGACGUUUUCAUGCUUUUUUUUUUUUUCUUUUUAAAAUUAAAGACAUGUCUGGAGAAACAUCAACCUGCAAUUACUUUGAGCUGUAUGCAUUUAGUUCAAAACUCCCAGUGUAAUCCUUUAAGGACUGGUGUGGGGUCUGCUGGAGAUUUUCUCUCUGUUUGCAAUAAGAAAGAGGCUCAGCUGUUGCUAUAUGUUUAUUCUCAGUUUCAGUUAAAUGUAUUGAAACUUAAUUCUGGAAAGACAGUAUUAGUUUGAGCAGAUUGAAAAUGCAUCAUGCUGUAGUUUCCAUGGCUUUCUCAUGUAUGUAAUUUAAUUCAAUCCAUUGCUUCCACUUGCUAUGUUUUGUGAUGAUAAAAAAAAAAAAGGUCUCUUACGAUGCAGUAUUGAAAGCGACGUCUUGGGUUUUAUUCAACCUUUUAACAGAUAUUUUAGUGAUACAACAAUUAUUACUCUGCAACAAUAUAUAAUGGGCUUUGUUAUUGUCAGUAGAGUAUAAAUAGUUUUUUUUUAUGUGUGGAAAUAGAAUCUCUCAUCAUUCACUUGGAUCCGAUUUGAAGUUUGUGCAAAUAUGCAAGAAGAAUUGUAAUAGAGAGCACUGCGAUAGUCCAGGGUCUGUACGUAUCAAGCGUUCCACUCAGCCAUGUAGAAAUGUAUUCAUCUUUACGACAAGCGGAACUCACCAUUAAGUAAAGCAGCGCUUUUCCUCGUGUGAGGUUUGAUACAUAAAUACAAUCCCUGAACUACCUCAGGUCCUUCCCGAUUGUUUUUCUACAUUUAUUUUUAUUUCUUUCCAUUUGUUUUUGUUUUUUUUCCCUCUCUGCUCUUUUAAUAUUUUUGCACAUAAACAUCAUUCAUUAACUGGAAAAAGUGUAAAUGCAUUGUAACGAGUGCUACAUGCUACAGUGGGUUUUAUUUGAUGACAGUCAGCAUGAUGGAAGCUUGUCUCUGCUUCAGCUGUGCAUCUGGGCCAUUACAACCUCCGUAUGAUCCUCUCAGGUUGUAUACACGCACACACAUACACAAUCACACACAUACACACACACACACGGACAUGACACACACACACAGGACUCCUUUCUUGCGAUCAUGUUCUAGGAGGACAAGUAUUAUACUGGCACGAGGAUUCGCUCCGUUCUCGACCGUGUGACUGAAUCAGCAGAUAAGAAUCGUGUCCCUGUUCAUUCCCAGUCAACUUUUGCCUUUUGAUAAAUGUGAUUACUGCAACGGGACCUGAUCGUGUACCAGAAUUCCUGAUGGAUGAGCCAGGAAAGAUCGCAGCGCUGUGCGGACGAAUCACAGCAGGACAAGCUACAUGCUGAGUGAUUAUCAGAGCACUGAAACACUAGAGAAACAGUCACAACUUACAUUCCAUUUGACUUGCUUUCUGUGGACAUUGUAGCCUUCUAUAAGGUUCACUUACUUCUGUGUACAGAGAGGAACUCAUUCCUCAUGCUGGUGUAAGGGUGUUACUCAUUUUAACGUGAACUAAAACUUGACUCCAUUCCAUCACUAUUGAGUUUUUUUUUGUGCUUUGAUUUGCAACCAUUUAAAUGAUAAAAAACAAAGCGUUCCAUUUGAAAGGAGCAUCGUGUUCAUCUUGCAUAAUUUACUGUCAUUAACAAUAAAUGCAAAAAAAAAUAA